ACACAGAAUUUAUGUCUUGAGUCUCCUCUAUAACCCCAUUUGAAAAAUAUUUGAAAUAUUCUAAUAAAUAUAAAUUUUUAAAUAACUUCUCCCCUUCAAAUAUUCAUUCUGCUACCAUUCGUGCAUGCUAAUUUGCAAUUUGAGAAAAUAAAUCGCAAAAUAAGUACGAAAAAUAAAUAAAAUACCAAAACAAGAAAAAUAUGCAGACAUAAAUCUUUAAUCAAAUCGAUGGACCAUAGCUAAAGGCAUACCGAAAUAAGCGAGUAACGAGAAAAAAAAGGAAGAUGUGGCACACAUGAGACUCGAAGCGUCGAAGGAUAAUCAUAUUUGUGUACAUAAGGACACAUAUGUGACCAAGAGGGCGUUCUAAGGAAGCAAACAUUGAAUGGGGAGAUGCCAGCAGCAAAUAAGAAGAUGUAUAAGAAGACAUUGCUAGAUGCUAAAGUACGACGAAAGGAUCAACAAACAGACGUGAGACAGAGUCAGCAGCAUGGCAAAAGGAAUGCCGAAAAAUCAAAUCAAUAUUAAUUUGCAAAACAGCGUGCAAUUGUCUGGCGUACUAAAGAGGAAUACACGCCGAGAACGCAGAUUUGCCGAAAGGACAUGCCGGUGCACUAAAAAAAGAAACAAAAAAAAAAAUAAAAUAAAAAAAAAGACAGGGGGGAGCGGCUUAACUUAAGGUCAAAGACGAAUGCUUCUUAGCAUAUGCACAUAAAUCUUGCUCGGCGAAAGGGGAGACGGCGAAAAAUUACGGCACAAACCGACACAUUACCACUGAGGGUAGAGCAAUAUCGGCAGCUGAACUAAGCAAUGAAUGGGGAAGCAAUAGGAAAAGGACAAUAACGCCGCUAAACGCUUCAAUGACAAUUCUAGCAUGUAAAAUAAAAUAGUAAAUACACAUAAAUAAAAGAAAGUUCACAGACACUGUGCGAAAACCCCAAAGGCCAAGGAUAUGCCGGGAACUAAAGAAAUCAAGCAAGAAACAAGCGAAAAUCCUGCUUAAAGUUGUCGAACAACCACGCACCCAGCAAAAACACAUCUACACUGAGUUCUAAUAAAAUGAAUGAGAAAUGGUCGUAAAUGGACAGACGCGAGCCGGGCGAAAUGGACGAAAGGACUUCAAAGGACAUUCGAAGUGAGAAUAUAGUUAGAAAACCGGCAGGACGGGUGGAAGGAGUUGGACAGUUGGCAGACACUUGGCAGUAGUCAUAAAAACAGCAGCAACAGCGCCAAGAAACAUAAGCGACAAUCACAGCAGCAGCAGCAGUAACAGCAACUGUGACAGAGACAAAGAACAAACACAUGCAGCGCGCGCGAAAGGAAGUGCGGAGAGAGUGAAGUAGAGAAGGCGGAAAAUAAAAGUAAAGCAAAAGGAAGUGUCCAAAUUGCCCUUAAAGGCGCGCAAAUAAAAUUUUAGGCGAGAAAACAA
Long non-coding RNA from Ceratitis capitata (Mediterranean fruit fly), 1429 nucleotides. RefSeq lists it as uncharacterized. Lineage: Eukaryota; Metazoa; Arthropoda; Insecta; Diptera; Tephritidae. The record is from RefSeq and is a predicted model, not a curated record. The transcript is spliced from 2 exons.